This 480-nucleotide ribosomal RNA is filed under the name uncultured bacterium. RNAcentral describes it as "partial 16S ribosomal RNA". It matches the Rfam family "Bacterial small subunit ribosomal RNA", at positions 28 to 523 of the family's 1533-position model. The record is from RNAcentral.
AAUGAACGUUGGCGGCGUGGAUUAGGCAUGCAAGCCGUGCGAUAACCCCGCAAGGGGGGAAAGCGGCGAAAGGGAGAGUAACGCGUGGGUACCUGCCCCUUGGUCCGGAAUAGCUGCGGGAAACUGCAGGUAAUGCUGGAUAAUAUCCUCGGAUCAAAGGUGUGAUUCCGCCGAGGGAGGGGCCCGCGUUCUAUUAGCUAGUUGGUAGGGUAAUGGCCUACCAAGGCGACGAUGGAUACCGGGUGUGAGAGCAUGACCCGGCUCACGGGGACUGGGACACUGCCCAGACACGUACGGGUGGCGGCAGUCGAGAAUCUUCGGCAAUGGGCGCAAGCCUGACCGAGCGACGCCGCGUGCGGGAUGAAGGCCGUCGGGUUGUAAACCGCUGUCGUAGAGGAGGAAAUGCCAUGGGGUUCUCUCCAUGGUUUGACCUAUUCUAGGAGGAAGGACGGGCUAAGUUCGUGCCAGCCGCCGCGGUAA